CCUACGGGAGGCUGCAGUGGGGAAUAUUGCACAAUGGGGGAAACCCUGAUGCAGCAACGCCGCGUGAGUGAGGAAGUAUUUCGGUAUGUAAAGCUCUAUCAGCAGGGAAGAAAAUGACGGUACCUGAGUAAGAAGCCCCGGCUAACUACGUGCCAGCAGCCGCGGUAAUACGUAGGGGGCAAGCGGUAUCCGGAUUUACUGGGUGUAAAGGGAGCGUAGACGGCAGUGCAAGUCUGGAGUGAAAGGCGGGGGCUCAACCCCCGGACUGCUCUGGAAACUGUACGGCUGGAGUGCAGGAGAGGUAAGUGGAAGUCCUAGUGUAGCGGUGAAAUGCGUAGAUAUUAGGAGGAACACCAGUGGCGAAGGCGGCUUACUGGACUGUAACUGACGUUGAGGCUCGAAAGCGUGGGGAGCAAACAGGAUUAGAUACCCGAGUCGUC
This 440-nucleotide ribosomal RNA is filed under the name uncultured bacterium. RNAcentral describes it as "partial 16S ribosomal RNA". It matches the Rfam family "Bacterial small subunit ribosomal RNA", at positions 338 to 795 of the family's 1533-position model. The record is from RNAcentral.